Molecule: long non-coding RNA, 1188 nt
Filed under: Homo sapiens (human)
Lineage: Eukaryota; Metazoa; Chordata; Mammalia; Primates; Hominidae
Description: HSALNT0326775
Source: RNAcentral
AGUGCCUGAGCACGCCAUCCUCCUGUACCCUACUCCAUUACGAUGUGAUUCCUUCGUGUUAAAACUGUGGGUCCAGUGUAAUCAUACGAGCCUUUAAAAGCAGAAGAGGAAGUAGGAAGAGGAAAGCAGAAUGGAUGCAGCAGAAGAGGGAGUCAGCGAGGUUCCAAGGUGUACCUUGCCCUACUAACUUUGGAUCUGGCCAAUGGAAUAUAAGGAGAUUUGACCUGUGCUGCUGUGAUUAACAGACAUCAGAGGCAUGGUACCAUGAGGACAGAGACCUCAACUGUGUGUUCAUCAUUAAGUCUCCAGAAUUCAGCAAAAUAUAUGGCACAUAGAAGGAAGAAAAACAACAGUAACUAGAUGAAGCAAGGACCACCCUUCUGGACAACAAAGGGAGAGGAAUGAAAGUCUGACCUAGGAAAAGAUGAAGAAACUGCAAAAUAAAGACUUACAAGGGUAAGUUACUAGAAACAAUCCGAUAACAUAUAACAGAACUGGAAUACAAACCUUUCCAAUGGAGUAGGAGCUCAAAGUCCUGGGUUCCAGUUUUUGUACCUAAUUAGGAAAACCAAGACUAUUUUCUCAGCUUUUCUGAACUUCUGCUUCCUCUUCUAUGAGAGGAAAGAAAGAAACCUAUACAUUUUCCUGCCAAAAUUUCUUGAGGAUCAAAUGAAAAAUGUUCAUGGAAGAGUUUUCAAAACCACAGAGCCACUAUAUGACUGGAAGGUAUUAAUAUUACUGGUAAACUGAUGUUAUUAAUUAUUCACAUGGUAUUGAUAUAUUAUCUCAAAACCAUUCUCUAAACAACACUCACUGUGAUUUUCCUUGCUGUUUUGAAACUUUUAAUUAGAAAAGGUUAAAGUGGAAAACAAAAACAAAAGCAAAAUACUAUCUGAUUCUAUUUCCCUUCAACAAAUGCAUUGUCAGGCAUGAAGAAAGAUAUGGUCUCUGCUCUCAGGGAGCUUGCAGUCUGGGCCACACCAAGACCUUGCAAAUAUACUUAAAUUAGCAAGUGUUUGUUUAUUAAACAACAGUGCACAAGACACUGGUGUCUGCACCAUAUGGUGUUGCUUUUCAACUUUAGCAGGCAUUAGAAUCACCUGGAAAGUUUGCUAAAACCUACUCCUGUGCUCCACCCCUAGAUCAUCUGAUUCAGGAGGUCUGGGGUGGGGCCUGAGAUCCUGCUUU